This is a non-coding RNA of Phascolarctos cinereus (koala), 490 nucleotides long. Lineage: Eukaryota; Metazoa; Chordata; Mammalia; Diprotodontia; Phascolarctidae. The record is from RefSeq and is a predicted model, not a curated record.
GGGAGGAAGAAGCUCCAGGGGAGCCUUGUUUAAAGACUGAAGGAAGGGGAACUAGCUGCCUUCAAAAACACUGUUCCUUUCCCCCAUUCAAGAUCCAACCUGUAGCUAAUGAUAUGGAAUGUCCAGGAGAUGCUGGCUGCUUCAGGGGUCAUGAAGAAUUCAUUAGGCCAUUCUCUCUAUCCUCCCUUGACCUUUGAGUGAAGACAAUAGCUAAGCAAGAGCUUUUGUCUCUGCUCCCCUGUCUGAGGCAGUGUCAAAUGUUGGACACUUGUUUGUUGGGGGAGAGGAGGAAGCAACUCAACUAAAUUCUUCAAGAUUUACUGAGUUUAUUAUGUGAAAGGUGUACACAAGACAUCGUGAACAAACUUGCCUUCUCAGAGCUUACAGUCUACUUGGACAGGGGAGAUAAGACAUGUAUAUAGCCAGAGAAUAUUCCCACUCUCUUUACACUCGUGCGGCAACUGGGUCCUCCAACCCUGAUUUUUGAGGA